GCAGUGGGGGUUCUGUGGUAGAAUUUUUGCCUUCCAAGUGAGAGACCUGAAUUCGAUUCCUAGCCACUGCA
This 71-nucleotide transfer RNA is filed under the name Loxodonta africana (African savanna elephant). It matches the Rfam family "tRNA". From Rfam's summary of the family: Transfer RNA (tRNA) molecules are approximately 80 nucleotides in length. The record is from Rfam by way of RNAcentral. Lineage: Eukaryota; Metazoa; Chordata; Mammalia; Proboscidea; Elephantidae.